GUACGUGAGUGUUCACGGUAAGCGCGCUCACAGCAGGUACAGUAGGAAUGUGGAUAUUAUCCCGUCAGCAGAGGGACAGUGAAUGGGAGUCCUGUCGCGAAUCGGGGGAAACGGAUACUUUAGGGAAAGCACGAGCCACUUCCGUGUUUUCCUGCUUCUUCACAUCUGGACAUGUUAAUCAUCUCACUUGCGCUUCAGAGGAACAUGCUGCUGGAAAACAGGAGCUUGAGGUUCUUCGCUGGUUUGCUGGUUCUCCUUCAGUCCAGUUCAUAUGUGACCGGAGCUGAUCAUGAUUCCAGACCCAACUUCGUCCUGAUGAUGGUGGACGAUCUGGGCAUUGGAGACAUCGGUUGCUAUGGAAACGACACCAUCAGACACCAAACAUCGAUGGUCUGGCGGCAGACGGAGUGAGACUGACUCAGCACCUCGCCGCCGCUCCUCUCUGUACUCCCAGCAGAACCGCCUUCAUGACGGGACGCUACGCUCUGCGCGCCGGUCUGGGCAGCACAGGCAGAGUUCAGGUGAUUCUGUUUCUUGCUGGAUCUGGAGGACUUCUACCGAAUGAAACCACCUUCGCCCAAACUUCUGCAGAAGCAGGGUUACACCACCGGCAUUGUGGGUAAGACUGAAUCAGUCACAGAGAUGUACAGUCAAGUCACGCUUUAUACAAUACAGAUCAUUCUGAAGCAGCUUCACAGUGAUGAACAGGAGAAUCAAACACGAGACUGAUUCAAAUUCUGCUGUAAAGCUCGAGUCAGAAAUGUUAGAAAUGAUAGCAU
Molecule: long non-coding RNA, 779 nt
Organism: Cyprinus carpio (common carp)
Lineage: Eukaryota; Metazoa; Chordata; Actinopteri; Cypriniformes; Cyprinidae
Gene: arsh
Exons: 5
Source: RefSeq, a predicted model, not a curated record